AGAUGUGAGGUGAGCUGGCUGAUCUGGCUGGCUGGGGGGGAGGAGGGGGUCCCCAUCCUCCCUCACCACUCCAUGUGCACCUGUCCUGAAGCUGUGUGCUCAAAGAGGAUGACCUUCCCCCAAUAGAGGAGGGCUGGUCUUUGUUCAAGGGUAUAUGAGUAGCUGCACUUACAGAUGCUAGCCCCAUACUACUAUACCCAGCAAAAUUU
RNAcentral lists this small nuclear RNA (209 nucleotides) under Cricetulus griseus (Chinese hamster). RNAcentral's name for it is "7SK RNA". It matches the Rfam family "7SK RNA". From Rfam's summary of the family: 7SK was discovered as an abundant small nuclear RNA in the mid-70s but a possible function has only recently been suggested. Two independent studies have found that 7SK RNA binds the CDK9/cyclin T complex (known as elongation factor P-TEFb). The record is from Rfam by way of RNAcentral. Lineage: Eukaryota; Metazoa; Chordata; Mammalia; Rodentia; Cricetidae.